RNAcentral lists this ribosomal RNA (260 nucleotides) under uncultured bacterium. RNAcentral describes it as "partial 16S ribosomal RNA". It matches the Rfam family "Bacterial small subunit ribosomal RNA", at positions 524 to 776 of the family's 1533-position model. The record is from RNAcentral.
UACGUAGGGCGCAAGCGUUGUCCGGAAUUAUUGGGCGUAAAGAGCUCGUAGGCGGUUUGUCGCGUUCUGCUGUGAAAGCCCGGGGCUCAACCCCGGGUCUGCAGUGGGUACGGGCAGACUAGAGUGCAGUAGGGGGAGACUGGGAACUCCUGGUGUAGCGGUGAAAUGCGCAGAUAUCAGGAGGAACACCGAUGGCGAAGGCAGGUCUCUGGGCUGUUACUGGACGCUGAGGAGCGAAAAGCAUGGGGGGAGCGAACAGG